Molecule: ribosomal RNA, 238 nt
Filed under: uncultured bacterium
Lineage: Bacteria
Description: partial 16S ribosomal RNA
Rfam family: Bacterial small subunit ribosomal RNA
Source: RNAcentral
UACGAAGGGGGCUAGCGUUGCUCGGAAUCACUGGGCGUAAAGGGUGCGUAGGCGGGUCUUUUAAGUCAGGGGUGAAAUCCUGGAGCUCAACUCCAGAACUGCCUUUGAUACUGAAGAUCUGAGUUCGGGAGAGGUGAGUGGAACUGCGAGUGUAGAGGUGAAAUUCGUAGAUAUUCGCAAGAACACCAGUGGCGAAGGCGGCUCACUGGCCCGAUACUGACGCUGAGGCACGAAAGCG